This 531-nucleotide ribosomal RNA is filed under the name uncultured bacterium. RNAcentral's name for it is "partial 16S ribosomal RNA". It matches the Rfam family "Bacterial small subunit ribosomal RNA", at positions 356 to 900 of the family's 1533-position model. The record is from RNAcentral.
UGGGAAUAUUGGACAAUGGGCGCAAGCCUGAUCCAGCCAUGCCGCGUGAGUGAUGAAGGCCCUAGGGUUGUAAAGCUCUUUUGUGCGGGAAGAUAAUGACUGUACCGCAAGAAUAAGCCCCGGCUAACUUCGUGCCAGCAGCCGCGGUGAUACGAAGGGGGCUAGCGUUGCUCGGAAUCACUGGGCGUAAAGGGUGCGUAGGCGGGUCUUUAAGUCAGGGGGUGAAAAUCCUGGAGCUCAACUCCAGAACUGCCUUUGAUACUGAGGAUCUUGAGUUCGGGAGAGGUGAGUGGAACUGCGAGUGUAGAGGUGAAAUUCGUAGAUAUUCGCAAGAACACCAGUGGCGAAGGCGGCUCACUGGCCCGAUACUGACGCUGAGGCACGAAAGCGUGGGGAGCAAAACAGGAUUAGAUACCCUGGUAGUCCACGCCGUAAAACGAUGAAUGCAGCCGUUGGGGAGUUUACUCUUCAGUGGCGCAGCUAACGCUUUAAGCAUUCCGCCUGGGGGAGUACGGUCGCAAGAUUAAAAAC